Molecule: long non-coding RNA, 380 nt
Filed under: Equus asinus (donkey)
Lineage: Eukaryota; Metazoa; Chordata; Mammalia; Perissodactyla; Equidae
Description: lncRNA (ENSEASG00005025866.1)
Source: RNAcentral
GGCCCUCUCACAUGGAUCUAGCCACCAUACUGUGAGGAAGCCAAAGCUAUGUGGAGAAGCUACAUACAGAUAUUCUGGCCAAGAGUCUCAGCUAAGCUCCCAGCCAACAGCCAGUACUGGCUGCCAGAGGUCUUCCUCCCUUCACCUUCCCCAAACUCUCCAAGAACUGAAGAUGUGUACUCAGUGCAUCAGGAUCUGCUCUGAGCCAGCUGCAAAGGAGCCUGGGAAGGUGAGCCUCUUGUCUGGGGCUAAGACGUUAUCACCACGAACAAAAUUGGUAUAUUGAAGCAACGAGGAAGAGGAAGAUGCCAUACCCUUCCCCCUACAAUCUUCCCAGGUGGCACAGGACCCCCAGGGCCCCUUCCCAACAACCCCAGGAA